RNAcentral lists this long non-coding RNA (395 nucleotides) under Medicago truncatula (barrel medic). RNAcentral describes it as "long non-coding RNA (MTRU_LNC000083)". Lineage: Eukaryota; Viridiplantae; Streptophyta; Magnoliopsida; Fabales; Fabaceae. The record is from RNAcentral.
AUGGGCGGAUCUAGACAUAUGAUAUUGGUGUGGCAAAACUUUCAAAUCAACUAUAUAUAUUAACAAAGUAAAACAUUAAUACCUUAAAUGCUAUAGAUAAGUGGUUUGGGUGACUGCGUUUAACCUUGUUGUUACUAGUUCGAUUCCCAGCAACACCCUUUUUAGAUACAAAUAAUUUAAAAAAAAACAUCAAAAUAGCAACAUGCCAGGAAUCGAACUCAGCACAUUCACAAUUUAUCCAUCCGCACAAACCACUGAGCCAAGAAAGAAGUUCUGAUAUGUUUGUGAUUUAUAUUAUAUAUAUAAUAAUUUAAGUCAAGUAUAUUAAAAAAAAAAAAAGGGAAUAAUCUGGUGUGGCAACUGCCACACCAUGUUUCAGUGUGGAUCCGCCCCUG